This 250-nucleotide ribosomal RNA is filed under the name uncultured bacterium. RNAcentral's name for it is "partial 16S ribosomal RNA". It matches the Rfam family "Bacterial small subunit ribosomal RNA", at positions 524 to 773 of the family's 1533-position model. The record is from RNAcentral.
UACGAAGGGGGCUAGCGUUGCUCGGAAUGACUGGGCGUAAAGGGCGCGUAGGCGGUUUGAUCAGUUAGGUGUGAAAUUCCUGGGCUUAACCUGGGGGCUGCACUUAAUACGGUCAGACUAGAGUGUGAAAGAGGGUCGUGGAAUUCCCAGUGUAGAGGUGAAAUUCGUAGAUAUUGGGAAGAACACCGGUGGCGAAGGCGGCGACCUGGUUCAUUACUGACGCUGAGGCGCGAAAGCGUGGGGAGCAAAC